CGAGGAAUAUUGCACAAUGGGCGCAAGCCUGAUGCAGUAACGCCGCGUGGGGGACGAAGACCUUCGGGUUGUAAACCUCUUUUCAGAAUGACGAGUGAGGACGGUAAUUUUGGAAUCAGUCUCGGCUAACUACGUGCCAGCAGCCGCGGUAAGACGUAGGAGGCGAGCGUUAUCCGGAUUCACUGGGCGUAAAGCGCAUGUAGGCGGCUGGACAAGUCCCGGAUGAAAGCCCCCGGCUCAACCGGGGGAGGUUUCGGGAGACUGUGCGGCUAGAGGGCAGCAGAGGUCGGUGGAACUCCCGGUGUAGCGGUGGAAUGCGUAGAGAUCGGGAAGAACACCAGUGGCGAAGGCGACCGACUGGGCUGCGACUGACGCUGAGAUGCGAAAGUGUGGGGAGCAAACGGGAUUAGAUACCCCCGUAGUCC
RNAcentral lists this ribosomal RNA (425 nucleotides) under uncultured bacterium. RNAcentral describes it as "bacterial SSU rRNA". It matches the Rfam family "Bacterial small subunit ribosomal RNA", at positions 355 to 796 of the family's 1533-position model. The record is from RNAcentral.